This 497-nucleotide ribosomal RNA is filed under the name uncultured bacterium. Its description in RNAcentral is "partial 16S ribosomal RNA". It matches the Rfam family "Bacterial small subunit ribosomal RNA", at positions 28 to 507 of the family's 1533-position model. The record is from RNAcentral.
GAUGAACGCUGGCGGCGUGCCUAAUACAUGCAAGUCGAGCGAACAGAUGAGGAGCUUGCUCCUCUGACGUUAGCGGCGGACGGGUGAGUAACACGUGGAUAACCUACCUAUAAGACUGGGAUAACUUCGGGAAACCGGAGCUAAUACCGGAUAAUAUAUUGAACCGCAUGGUUCAAUAGUGAAAGACGGUUUUGCUGUCACUUAUAGAUGGAUCCGCGCCGCAUUAGCUAGUUGGUAAGGUAACGGCUUACCAAGGCAACGAUGCGUAGCCGACCUGAGAGGGUGAUCGGCCACACUGGAACUGAGACACGGUCCAGACUCCGACGGGAGGCAGCAGUAGGGAAUCUUCCGCAAUGGGCGAAAGCCUGACGGAGCAACGCCGCGUGAGUGAUGAAGGUCUUCGGAUCGUAAAGCUCUGUUAUUAGGGAAGAACAAAUGUGUAAGUAACUAUGCACGUCUUGACGGUACCUAAUCAGAAAGCCACGGCUAACUACGUG